RNAcentral lists this long non-coding RNA (3864 nucleotides) under Homo sapiens (human). RNAcentral's name for it is "non-protein coding lnc-FBRSL1-3:2". The record is from RNAcentral. Lineage: Eukaryota; Metazoa; Chordata; Mammalia; Primates; Hominidae.
GACGGGGGGCGGGGCGCGCGGGGUAGCCUGGGCCAAGGGCGCGCGGGCGCGGGGAGCGGGGGCGGGGCAGGCGCGGACCCUCCCUCCCCAGGACCCGCCAGACGCCCGGGGCCCCCAACGGCCAGCACGGUCCGAAUCGACCCCAAGCUUGACCCGAGGGCAGCGGGGCCUCCGGGAAUGCCUGGCCAGGGCGGUGUCGCCGGGAGUGAAUGGGGGAGGGGGCGGCCGGGGCAGGACCCGGGUCAGGGCCACUCUGGUAGUCUCCUGCCCACCCCUCCCCAAGCCGAGCUCCCGGCCUCCCUCCCUCUCCCCCGUCCAGGGCUGAGGACUGGGGAAGCUGAGUCCCGGGACGGGUAUGGGGGGGUUGGGGCUUGGGAUGCAGCCGGACCUCCGGGAACAGCAGGGGGCCCUGGAGCCACCAGGAGGGAGAAGGCCCCGUCCCUGAGCCAGGCUCGCAGGAUGUUUAUCCCAGGAAAUCCAGAGGAUCAGAACCAGGCAGGACCCGGCACUGGGACGGAGGCAGCUGUCUGCGGGGCGUUUACCGUAGAUACGUAUCACCUGUUCUGAGACAGAGCCUGGGAGGCUGUUUUUAAUCAUCCGGGAGGUUGUAAAAUGUUUCCCGACGUUACGAGGACAGCUGCUGGAAUAAUGAUGCAGGUAGCUGGCACACACGCAGUGCAAAGGUUUCACCAGACAUGGUCUUCUAUGCCUAUCACCUGGUCAAUACGAGCAGCAGCCACGUUAAGGUGUAAUACACACUGGCGUCAUCUAACGUUCCAUGUGAGGAAACUGAGGCACACAAAGGGCAACUGGCUUGCUCAAGGUCGCGUGAAUGGCAAAGCGUGGAUCUGGGAUUCAAGCCCAGACAAUUGGGCUCCAGAAUUGACUUUAUUAGUCAUGAUCACUCCAGAGAAAACAUCAAGCACUUUUCAUUACAUGUUUAAUGAAAAUGAUGUUAAAGUGGUUUUGUAGGAGAAAACAUUUCAUUCAUGUAAAUACAUUUUACUGCAUUCUAAAAUCUAGCAGGAAAAGAUGUGGCCUAACUACCGUCAAGAUCUGGGUACAUUUCAUUGGAAAUACAAGCACAUUGGACAUGGGAAAAUACUGGGGAACUUUACAUGGAAGAGAAUGCAUCUGAUAGUCUGGCGCACUAGCAUUUGCUGGAUUUUUAGGACAUAUGGGAGGCCGGGUGCGGUGACCUCCCCCAGCAAUCCCAGCAAUUGGGGAGGCUGAGGCCGGUGGAUUGCUCGAGCCCAGGAGUCCAAGACUAGCCCGGGCAAUAUGGUAAAACCUCAUCUCUAUGAAAAAAAAUACAAAAAAUUAGCCGGGUGUGGUGGUGCACAGCUGUAGUCUCAGCUACGUGGGAGGUUGAGGUGGGAGAAUCACCUGAGCCUGGGGAAGUCAAGGCUGCAGUGAGCCGAGAUUGCACCACUGCACUCCAGCCUGGGUAACAGAGUGAGACCCUGUCUCAACAAACAAAACACAAAAAUAUAUAUAUGCUGAAUGCUCAGUGAGCUGUAACAUGUGAGGCAGCCCCCAGGGGUGCCGAGAUGAACCGCUAAGAAGGCGUAUGUUCCCACGGGGUGCAGAGAUGAACCCCUGUCUGAGAAGGCGCAUGUACCCAUGGGGGUGCAGAGAUGAACCCCUGUCUGAGAAGACGCAUGUACCCACGGGGGUGCAGAGAUGAACCUCUGGGAAGGCGCAUGUACCCACAGGGUGCAGAGAUGAACCCCUGUCUGAGAAGGUGCAUGUACCCACGGGGUGCAGAGAUGAACCCGUCUGAGAAGGCACAUGUACCCACGGGGUGCAGAGAUGAACCCCUGAGAAGGCGCAUGUACCCACGGGGUGCAGAGAUGAACCCAACUGAGAAGGAGCAUGUACCCACGGGGUGCAGAGAUGAACCUGUCUGAGAAGGCGCACACACCCACAGCUGCCCCUCAUCUUAGCACCACAGUGCCAGCCCCACCCUGUCUUUGAUAAGCCCUGGCCUUCCAGGGCCUCCCUCAGAGAACCAGCCCCUGCGGAGUCCCUGAACGUAGCUGCGGUCUGGGGUGCCGACCCUCGGCACUGGGAGAAACCCUCACCAGUAGCAUCACCCCCCAGUGAGCCAAGAUCGCACCACGGCAGCAUCACUGGGGAGGGAGUCACGUGGUUGUCACUGCAGAACUCUGGAGAGGCAGGCUCUUGCGUGGGUGGGGGCCAUGGAGGACGCAGCGUGGGAUUUAAAAUGAGCCCAGUGAAGGGAAAUGCUGGUUCUUCAAUGUCCAUGAGCUCAAGCCCUGUGGGAGGUGUAGCCUCGAUUAUUUUGCACAGAUCUGAACAGCAUUCACCCCCAGUUGGAUAUGGCCCUUUCCUCGAAGCACAGAUUGGAACUCAAGGUCACUGAAGUGCUUUCUGGCCGCAUCAUGGAGAGAAAGGCAUUUUCUCACUCAGGCAUCACCCCGGGAACGUGGCGUGCCAUGUUUUAGCAUCUAAGUGUGUCCCCCGAGGAGGCAGGGUUAUGCCGUAAUCACAAGCAAACCCCAAACCUCAACGGCAUAAACGACACAGGGUAAUUUAUCAUGGGAUUGCGUGUCCACCUGGGUCCCCGCGGAGCUCUGUUGACUGGAGUCGCUCGGAGCCCCCGGCGCGAAUGCUGGAUGGCUGGGCGGGGAGGAGCGCUCAGGGGCUUCACGCUGUCAACACCCCACUCCGAAGUGACUCCCGCUGCUUCCAGCAGUCACCUGCUGGACAGAGACCGUCACACGGGCCCCUUCACGCAGUGGGGUGGGAAGGGAGAUCCUACCGCGUACCUGGAAGACGGGAGAACAGGGGUGUUUCGAUCAGUCCUUGUAGCACGGCCGGGACUUAAGCUCUGAACCACCAGUGAGGAGGUCGUUGGUCUGAGCCUGCUUUUCCAAGUCCUAUCUUCCCUUCUUGGGUUCAGACAGCAGAUCCGACUGUAAGUGGCUUUAAAGAGACAGCAGACAUGUUUGUGGCAGUUUAUUCAUUGCCCCUGGAUGCCACCCUUGCAUGCCCCCUAUGUGACAGCUAGCGGCCCACAGCCCAUUAACCCUGCAGAUGGGCACAGCAGGCCUCAGGGAGGUGAUGUGGGUUCAGUGUGCCGAAGAUGAAGAGAUGCAGGGGACUCAAACCCACUGGCCGAGGCACCACCCGUUUCUCCAGGCAAAGAGGGUUCAUUUUUCCUGUUUCCUUCUGGCCCAUAAUGUGGAUAACUUGCCCCUUCAGCACAAGUUGGUGAACAAUUCAUCCACCAGCAUAUUCAAACCACGGCCAACCAGUGGCUGAAAACAACAGCAAGCAGCCGCCUAGCACAGGGAUCUGUCCGUGGGCUGGACGCGACAGGGAGGACUCGGCUCUGCGCCUGGGGCCCGGGACCCCGACUGGAGGUGGGGUCGGCUCUGCUCCUGGGGCCCGGGACCCCGACUGGCAGUGGGGGCUGGAGGAAGCUGUGCUCAUCGGAUGGCUUGGCACUCACGCGUCUGAGGGUUGUGGCUGGCCUUGGCAGAGGCCCGCUCCUGGCAGUGGCUGAGCUGUCGGAAUCCAGCACCCUCCCCUCCACAUGGCCUGAGCUUCCUCACAGCAUGGCUGCCAGGUUCCAAGCUCCAGCCCUGGGAGAGACGGCCAAGCGGGAGCUGCAUCAUGCUCCCACAUUUCCUGUUCUUGAUUUGCCCCCACUGGGCACUGUAGCCUUCCUGCCAACGCAGCUCUCAGGAGUACGGCUGCUGCAUGCCAAGGCAUUUCCCCACAUGGCCCUCCUGUGUGCUGUAAAUGCCUUCAGCUCCUCAAUGGAACGCACGUGUGGUGAGCACUGCUUCCUCGGUGUAAAUGCUCCCAUCAUAGCUGGUUUCAAGCCGACAGUGC